UGCCCUAUGAUUGCAAUGGUAUCAAGUGGGGUUUAAACUCCAUGUCUAGGUUCGAAUCCUAGUAGGGCAA
Molecule: transfer RNA, 70 nt
Filed under: Caudoviricetes sp.
Lineage: Duplodnaviria; Heunggongvirae; Uroviricota; Caudoviricetes
Description: tRNA-OTHER
Rfam family: tRNA
About the family: Transfer RNA (tRNA) molecules are approximately 80 nucleotides in length. Their secondary structure includes four short double-helical elements and three loops (D, anti-codon, and T loops). Further hydrogen bonds mediate the characteristic L-shaped molecular structure. tRNAs have two regions of fundamental functional importance: the anti-codon, which is responsible for specific mRNA codon recognition, and the 3' end, to which the tRNAs corresponding amino acid is attached (by aminoacyl-tRNA synthetases). tRNAs cope with the degeneracy of the genetic code in two manners: having more than one tRNA (with a specific anti-codon) for a particular amino acid; and 'wobble' base-pairing, i.e. permitting non-standard base-pairing at the 3rd anti-codon position.
Source: RNAcentral